UAUUUGCAUCGUGACAGCCACUCAG
Molecule: non-coding RNA, 25 nt
Filed under: Mus musculus (house mouse)
Lineage: Eukaryota; Metazoa; Chordata; Mammalia; Rodentia; Muridae
Source: RNAcentral